GAGCCUCAGAGAGUACAGGUUGUGCUGGUCGAUGAUGUUCCUGACGGCGGUCUGCCACAGCAGACGUUUCCUUCGUAGACCUUGGGCGGGGCUGAUGUUCGCACUGAAGCAGAGGCCUCCAUUGACGCCGUCAGUGCUGAUGAAGCAGAUGGUGUUAAUCUAAUGCCUGGUGAGGCCAGCGCCAUGCUGCCAUGCUGUACUUCAACUUCCUGUUGACUCAACCAUGUUAAAGUAUCCAGAACCAUUAAAGAGGAUUCCUGCUUUACACCAAACUGAAGGUAGACCUUCUGGAUUAAAUUGGCUCAAUGGGAACAAAUCAGUAGGUAAGAAAAGGUAAAGGGUUUUACUGAAUCCUCUGAAGAUUAGUUUAUAGGAUGAAAAACUGAACGGAGUCAUAGUUGUACUCACUGGUUGCAGAAUUGAUUCGAUCAUCUCCAGUAAGGACUCUGGUUCGUCUUUGUCCUGUUUUUGUUUCCUUGCUGCUUCCUUGUUCAUCUCAGGUCCAUCUUGUUCAGCUCAUCAUGAUUUAUUCAGGAAACAAACACACUUUCCAAGCUCCUCAUUUCUUCAUGAAGGUUUCGUCAACAGGAAGCGUCCAGUCGUCAUGGUGUCGGUGAGUAAAGACGGACGGUACUCUCGGGUCACAACCAGAACCUGUAGCUCCUGAAGUGCAGGUCUGAGUGAGGCGCAGCAGCUUGGUGUAAUGAGCUGAAGUUGACCAGCAGAUGUCCCAGUGCUGCACUAAUCCCAUCAGGAACCCCUCGAAUGGACAAAAGGCGGCUCAUUAAUCGGCCAGAUUAAGCAUGUGGCUGUGUCUGACCGUUCAGGUGCCUGAUGGGAUUGGCAGGCCUCCAACCAGGCCAGGUUGUGUUUGUGUGCUCGGGUUGUGUGACCAUGUUGACGGCAACUUCACAGAUGGACAGAAACCUGAGAAGAUGGACUGUAAGUAUCUGAUCAGGGAGCUAAAAAUUGAUCCACUGAUGUAGGUUUAGUGUGCUGCCACCUGGUGGCGAAACCUCUUCACUGUAUUUAAUGUCCAGACUGGAUGUGAAGUAAUGAAGGUAUUUCCUGGUAAUCAUCCAUAUCAGGACUUAUUUCACUUUAUAAAUCACAAAUAUAACUAAAAACCUGGAGAAAAAAACAAAUUCAGUGGAAUUAGAAAAAUGAAACAAUCAAUCAGUUUGAUUGAACAUGUGGAAGCUCAGGCUGAUUUUAUUCAUUCCUGUGGACACAAACAUGUAAAAAUAUAAAACUGGAAUAAUAACAUGUAUCCAUGCCAGCUGUCAUCAAACAGUCGACCUGAUAAAAGUCCGUAAACAGUCACAGAUGGUUCUGUUGGAUCCUUCAUGUAAACCUUUGGGGGGAAACAUGACGACCGUUUCUAUGGCAACGUAAGGGAAGAAAGUCCAGUUAAAACUGAACAAUAAAGGACAGGAUUUAACGUUUGGCAGUGGAAAUAAGGAGAGUUUAGAGGCUGAUUCUCAUCAUUUCACUGGAAAAUAAAAUAUUAAUUUAAAUAUUCUGGUAAACCUCUGCAAAAAAACAUCCAAAUAGUUU
This is a long non-coding RNA of Xiphophorus hellerii (green swordtail), 1557 nucleotides long. RefSeq lists it as uncharacterized. NCBI's taxonomy places the organism in Eukaryota, Metazoa, Chordata, Actinopteri, Cyprinodontiformes, Poeciliidae. The transcript is spliced from 2 exons. The record is from RefSeq and is a predicted model, not a curated record.